This 453-nucleotide ribosomal RNA is filed under the name uncultured organism. RNAcentral describes it as "partial 16S ribosomal RNA". It matches the Rfam family "Bacterial small subunit ribosomal RNA", at positions 331 to 800 of the family's 1533-position model. The record is from RNAcentral.
GUACACUCCUACGGGAGGCAGCAGUGGGGAAUAUUGGACAAUGGGCGCAAGCCUGAUCCAGCCAUGCCGCGUGAGUGAUGAAGGCCCUAGGGUUGUAAAGCUCUUUCACCGGUGAAGAUAAUGACGGUAACCGGAGAAGAAGCCCCGGCUAACUUCGUGCCAGCAGCCGCGGUAAUACGAAGGGGGCUAGCGUUGUUCGGAUUUACUGGGCGUAAAGCGCACGUAGGCGGACUAUUAAGUCAGGGGUGAAAUCCCGGGGCUCAACCCCGGAACUGCCUUUGAUACUGGUAGUCUUGAGUUCGAGAGAGGUGAGUGGAAUUCCGAGUGUAGAGGUGAAAUUCGUAGAUAUUCGGAGGAACACCAGUGGCGAAGGCGGCUCACUGGCUCGAUACUGACGCUGAGGUGCGAAAGCGUGGGGAGCAAACAGGAUUAGAUACCCCAGUAGUCCCAUGU